RNAcentral lists this transfer RNA (72 nucleotides) under Streptomyces fagopyri. It matches the Rfam family "tRNA". From Rfam's summary of the family: Transfer RNA (tRNA) molecules are approximately 80 nucleotides in length. Their secondary structure includes four short double-helical elements and three loops (D, anti-codon, and T loops). Further hydrogen bonds mediate the characteristic L-shaped molecular structure. tRNAs have two regions of fundamental functional importance: the anti-codon, which is responsible for specific mRNA codon recognition, and the 3' end, to which the tRNAs corresponding amino acid is attached (by aminoacyl-tRNA synthetases). tRNAs cope with the degeneracy of the genetic code in two manners: having more than one tRNA (with a specific anti-codon) for a particular amino acid; and 'wobble' base-pairing, i.e. permitting non-standard base-pairing at the 3rd anti-codon position. The record is from Rfam by way of RNAcentral. Lineage: Bacteria; Bacillati; Actinomycetota; Actinomycetes; Kitasatosporales; Streptomycetaceae.
CCGGGUGUCGAGCAGAGGCAGACUCGCCGUUUUGGCAAAACGGAUACGCCGGUUCGAAUCCGGCCGCCCGGG